GUUCAUUUCCUCAUCAUGCUGGUUAACAGCACCCUGCUUUUCCCUUGUGGAACCUGCCCUUCCUUAGUUUCAGCCCAAAUGGUUUGAGUGGCACUGACCCCAACCCCAACCCUGCCUUUUCAGGGGUGGCCAUGGACCCAGGUCUGACCAAUCAGGUCGCCCCUGCCCUCUGGCCAGGCAGGUUGCUUCAGGAGUGGGCACAUGGACCUACUCAGGUAAAUGAGGCUCAAUUCGGAGAAUUUUGCUAGGAGAAGCCUUCUUUCCCUAGGAACCAUUCCCUGUAAGAAUGCUGGAUGCUUCCACCUGUCGGAGCCCCUGAAGAAAGUCCCCUGAAAAUGCAGCCGGCACAGCAGAAGCCAGACCCAAAAGAAAUGAAGAGAAGAAGACUGGACUGGACAGCAUUUUUUUAAACCCAUCCUUGCACGUGAAGCCAGAACUUUUCAUUUACAACAAUGUGAUCAUUGGAGAAGAAGCUGAAAUAACAGAGGGCACCUGCUGUUACACAAUCGAUUGCACAACACCUGAUGUGUAUCCACAGCGCUCAAAGUUCACGUGGAUUUCCUUCUUCUUAUAGAGACAACAUACGCAUUGUAGUGGAAGUCAGAUGAAACAAAAAUUUCUCUGAAAGCAUAUAAAAGCAUUUCUAUGGGAACAGCAAUUGUUAUGAUUACAUUAAAAAUGUAUUCACUUGCAGGCAAUUUUGGCACUCUGUGUAAAUUUGGGGUGCUCCAAAUCUUGAAGAAAUGUAUCUUAAAAAAUACACCUUAACACCAGUUGCCAGAAUGGGUCAUCCACUACUAUAGUCAAAACAAUUUACUUUGCUUUAUUGCAGGUAAAAAUUACAAAUAUGACUAAAAUCUACAUAACAAAUAUAUGUUCCCAAAAUAAUAUUGAUCUUGCCAACAGUAGCUGAAUAUUUAAUUUACUUUAACAAACAUGCUGAAAGAUAAUAAAUGAAAAUUAUUUUUCUAUUUGUCCUUCUAGGCUCUGUAUAACUAGUGGUUAUAACUAAUGCAUAUAACUGUCUAACUAAUAGUUUUCUUAUUAGAAAACUAUUUUUUUUCCAAUAGUAUGGAACGCAGGCA
RNAcentral lists this long non-coding RNA (1085 nucleotides) under Mustela putorius furo (domestic ferret). Its description in RNAcentral is "lncRNA (ENSMPUG00000029215.1)". Lineage: Eukaryota; Metazoa; Chordata; Mammalia; Carnivora; Mustelidae. The record is from RNAcentral.